Molecule: long non-coding RNA, 1173 nt
Filed under: Marmota monax (woodchuck)
Lineage: Eukaryota; Metazoa; Chordata; Mammalia; Rodentia; Sciuridae
Source: RNAcentral
GGAAGUUUCCCAUGGCUAUACUUAAGAUGUUCAUCUCUCACUCCAGGUACCCAGGAAGACCAGGGUCAACGCGGACAAGGAGAAUUCUUUUGACUUUUCUCACUGGGAUUCAACAACACACAUUACAAUUUACUUUUAAAAGUUCAACCAGUAGAACAUCUGUUCAGAUUGAAGAUAAUGAUCUCCUGCAUGUUCCCAGAUGUUUGGGAUGCUCAGAACUGUGGGCUCCAAGAAGUCAAGAUGACCCAUGAUGAUCAUUAAAGGGAACCGAGUCACGUGGUGGUCUCUGGUGCCUCUCUGAUGUUUGAGGUCUCAUCUUUUUAUAAAGAGCUUGGUUCAGGAUUAGAAUCUUCCAACAUUAGAAAUUAAUGACAUUGCUUUGUUGUCUUUGUAUCAACGAUUAUAGAUACUUGCUAUUAUACAAAGGCAAGGUUGGUUUUUUACUGAGCGUGGGGGUGUACAAUUUCAGUUUAUAACAAAUUUAUAUAAAAACCAGAGACAACUCCAAUAAAAGUGUUCUAAUGGUACAAGAUUAAUUAGAGUUUGGAAGGAGUUCUCUGACUCAUUCUUGGUAUGGCUGAUUAUAUGUCAUUCAAUCAUUCUCAAUUGAUAAAUAAAUAGGGUUUUUGUUUUUUUCACCCAGGAGUUGUUUUAAAAAAUUGCUUUGCUGUUAGAACAAUGUUGCAAUGAAUAUCCUGACUUUUAUACUUUGAUUUCUAUAGAAUACGUUGUCCAAAGUGAGGUUUCCAGACCAAAUUAUCUUGUGUAUUUUUAAUUUUAAUAGAUUGUUUCCAGAUCAUUUUCAAAAAUGUUGAAAUGUCAUACUCUAAUGAGCAAUAUAUGAAAUGGAAUAUUCUCCCACAUCUUGGAUGUCACUGGAGUUAUCAUUCUUUUUAAGUCUUACCAAUCUGAUGGGGUAAAAAUUGGCAUCUCACUUUCCCUUUAAUUUGCAUUUUUUCUGACUAAGUCCAGUAGUUAAAAGUAGUUACUCUGAAACACAAAUCCUUUGAUUUGAAUCGAACACUGCCACUUAAUGGCUGUUUUUUCUUGGUUGAGCGUCUAAAUCAAGAUUUUAAUGGACAUCAUAAUGGUGUCCACCCCUUAGAGCUGCUGCAAAAACUGGGUGAGUUGAUGUGUCUAAAAAAAAGACCUGAAUGAUAGUGAGCUUUACAU